This 72-nucleotide transfer RNA is filed under the name Bacteroidota bacterium. Its description in RNAcentral is "Bacteroidetes bacterium (activated sludge metagenome) tRNA-Asn". It matches the Rfam family "tRNA". Rfam says of the family: Transfer RNA (tRNA) molecules are approximately 80 nucleotides in length. Their secondary structure includes four short double-helical elements and three loops (D, anti-codon, and T loops). Lineage: Bacteria; Pseudomonadati; Bacteroidota. The record is from RNAcentral.
UCCUCGGUAGCUCAGUGGUAGAGCAGUGGACUGUUAAUCCAUUGGUCGCUGGUUCGAAUCCAGCCCGGGGAG